This is a long non-coding RNA of Gorilla gorilla gorilla (western lowland gorilla), 655 nucleotides long. RefSeq lists it as uncharacterized. The transcript has 3 exons. The record is from RefSeq and is a predicted model, not a curated record. Lineage: Eukaryota; Metazoa; Chordata; Mammalia; Primates; Hominidae.
ACCCCUUACUGGGCAUCAAUCACAGCCCCCUUUCUCCCUCAAGAACCUGAACUUUUACCUACUUAUUCUAAAGGAGAAAAAAACUUUUUCCAAGUGGAAGGGGGACAGGUAAUAAAGGAAGGAUGGAUCCAGUUACCGGAUGGGAGAAUAGCUGUGCCACAGCUACUUGGAGCAGAGGUUGCACUGGCUGUGCAUGAAACUACCCAUCUAGGUCAGGAAUCACUUGAAAAGUUGUUAGGCCGGUAUUUUUACAUCUCCCAUUUAUCAGCUCUUGCCAAAACAGUAGCGCAGCGAUGUGUUAUCUGCUGACAGCACAAUGCAAGACAGGGUCCAGCCGUUCUGCCAGGUAUACAGACAUAUGGAGCAGCCCCCUUUGAAGAUCUCCAGGUGAACUUCACAGAAAUGCCAAAGCGUGGAGGUGAUUGAGUGUGGAUCAAAGAUUGGAACACAUCCCCCUUGUGACCACGGUGGAAAGGAGCCCAGACCAUCAUCUUGACCACCCCCACAGCUGUAAAGGUAGAAGGAAUCCCAGCCUGGAUCCACCACAGCUGAAUAAAACCUGCAGCCUCUGAAACCUGGGAGGUAUUGUUGUCCUAAGCCAGACCUGAUCACCUGUCUGGAGCAAGGAAAAAAACCUUCUUGACUAUGAAGAGAC